CACUUCAGCUGGAUGCAGUGUCCCAGCAGAGGUUGCGAGGUCCCCUGCAUUGUCCUAUAAUGUCGAUGCAGUGCUCAUGCAGUAGAUGCAGUGUCACACAAAGUGGAGGCAUGGUGGUGUAUUGUAGUAUGCAGUGCCAAUGAAGGUGAAUGCAGUGAUCCUGCAGUGAUGGCAGUGCGCCAGCAGUCCCACUUCAGCUGGAUGCAGUGUUGCUGCAGUGGUUGCAGUGCCCCCUGCAUUGUCCGGCAAUGUGGAUGCAGUGCCCAGGCAGUGGAUGCACUGUCACACAAGGUGGAUGCAGUAUGGUAUGACAGAUGAUGCAGUUCUCAUGAAGGUGGAUGCAGUUUCCCUGCAGUGCUUGCAGUGCCCCCCGCAUAGUCCAGGAAUGCGGAUGCAGUAGUCAUGCAGUGGAUGCAGUGUUCCACAAGGUGGAUGCAGUAUGUUGUGAUGGAGGAUGCAGGGCCCAUGAAGGUGGAUGCAGUGAUGCCAUGGUGGUUGCAGUGCCCUCUACAGUUCCCUGAAUGUGGAUGCAGUGACCAUGCAGUAGUUGCAGUGUCCCACAAGGUGGAUGUUGUAUGUUGUGAUGCAAGAUGCAGUGCCCACGGAGGUGGAUGCACUGAGCCUGUGCUGAAUGCAGUGCACCUGCAGUGCGACUUCAGCUGUAUGCAGUGUCCCUGCAGGGGUUGCAGUGCCAACUGCAUUGUCCAAGAACGUGGAUGCACUGCCCAGGCAUUGGAUGCAGUGUCCCAGAAGGUGCAUGGAGUAUGUUGUGAUGGAGGAUGCAGUGCCCAUGAGGGCAGAUGCAGUGAUACUGCAGUGAUUGCAGUGCGCCUGUAGUGCCACUUCAGCUGGAUCCAGAGUGCCUGCAGGGGUUGGAGUGCCUGUUGCAGUGUCCCUGAACUUGGCUGCAGUGCCGAUGCCAUGGUUGCAGUGUCACUGAAGGUAGAUGCAGUAUGUUGUGAUGGAGGAUGCAGUGCCCAUGAAGGUGGAUGCAGUGAUCCUGCAGUGGUUGCAGUGCCCCCUGCAAGGUGCCUGAAUGAGAAUGCCAUGCCCUUGCAGUGGAUGCAGUGUCGCUGAAGGUAGAUGCAGUAUGUUAUCAUGGAUGAUGCAUUGCCCAUUAAGGAGGAUGCAGUGAUUUUGCAGUGAUUGCAGUGCACAUGCAGUGACAAUUCAGCUGGCUGCAGUGUGCCUGCAGUGGUUGCAGUGCCCCCUCUGUAUCUCUGAAUACGAAUGCAGUGCCCAUGAAGUGGAUGUAGAGUACCAAAAGAUGGAUGUGAUAUGUUGUGGCAGAGAAUGCAGUGCCCAUGACAUGGCAUGCAGUGUUCCUGCACUGGUUGUUGUGCCACCUUCUGUGUCCCUGAUUGUGGAUACAGUGUCCCUGCAGUGGUUGCAGUGUUGCCAGCAUUGUCCAGGAAUGCAGAUGCAAUGACAAGGCAGUGGAUGCUGUGUCACACAAGUUGGAUGCAGUAUGUUGUGACAUAGGAUGCAGUGCCCAUGAAGGUGGAUGCAGUGAUCCAGCAGUGGUUUCCGUGCACACUGUAGUGUCCCUAAAUGUGCAUGCAGUGAACAUGAAUUGGAUGCUGUGAACAUUCAGUGAUUGCAGUGCACCUGCCAUGCCACUUCAGCUGCAUACACUGUGCCUGCAGUGGUUGCAGUGCUGCCUGCAUUGUCCGGGAAUGUGGAUGCAGUGCCCAGGCAGUGUAUGCAGUGUCACACAAGUUGGAUGCAGUAUGUUGUGACAGAGGAUGCAGUGCCCAUGAAGGUGGAUGCAGUGAUCCUGAAGUGGUUUCCGAGUACACUGUAGUGUCCCUGAAUGUGGAUGCAGUGAACAAGCAGUGGAUGCACUGAACAUUCAGUGAUUGCAGUGCAACUGCAGUGCCACUUCAGAUGAAUGCAGUGUUGCUGCAGUGGUUGCAGAGCCCACUGCAGUUGCCCAUGAAGGAGGAUGCAGUGAUCCUGCAGUGGUUGCAGUGCACCCUGCUCUGUUCCUGAAUGUGGAUGUUGUGAACAUGCAGUGGAUGCAGUGAUCCUGCAGUGACUGCAUUGCACCUGCAUUUCCACAUAAGUUGGAAGCAGUGUCCCUGCAGGGGUUUCCGUGCCACUUUCUGUGUCCCUGAUAGUCAAUGCAGUGCCCAUGCAGUGGAUGCAGUGUACCUAAAGGUUUAUGAAGUAUGUUGUGAUGGAGGAUGCAAAUCCAUGAUGGUGGAUGCAGUGUUGCUGCAGUGGUUGCACUUCCCCUGGCAUUGUCCUAGAAUGCGGAUGCAGUGGUAAAGCAGAGGAUGCA
This 2284-nucleotide long non-coding RNA is filed under the name Equus caballus (horse). Its description in RNAcentral is "lncRNA (ENSECAG00000056469.1)". Lineage: Eukaryota; Metazoa; Chordata; Mammalia; Perissodactyla; Equidae. The record is from RNAcentral.